Betta splendens (Siamese fighting fish) is the source of this 1205-nucleotide long non-coding RNA. RefSeq lists it as uncharacterized. The transcript is spliced from 2 exons. The record is from RefSeq and is a predicted model, not a curated record. Lineage: Eukaryota; Metazoa; Chordata; Actinopteri; Anabantiformes; Osphronemidae.
ACGGCCAGGCAGGAACAUUGUCAGAUCCAUGCAUCAUUGGUAAGAAAAUCUCUUCCCCCCUCCCUCCCCCCAACACCACCACCACCACCACCACACCCCCCAACCUCCCGCCCCACCAACGCAGACCUGAAAAGAUCCUUUUGUCCCUCAUCACCCGCCUGCCCGCCACCGCUCCUACCCCCCCACACACCCCACCUCUUACUGACACACACCCCUCAUGUGGUCAUGGAUACCUGGGACCGUCUCCCACCCGGAUGCCUCGCAGGGUAAAGCUACCUGCAGGCAGCAGACCGUGUGGAGGCAACUCAGCCGAGAGUCUCCCACUCUUUUGGGUUCGGUCCUUAUAGGAGAUGUGCACCGAGCCUAACGCCAGAGAAAACACUAACCCAGCGCAGACCCAUGCAGGCUCCUCUCCAUGUUUAUUUGCACACGUCAGGGCCCUUCCUGCUGUUGAUUUAGAGCCACUGCCACUUAUAGCUAUGACAAAUGAAAUGCCCCCUUGAUGACUCGGACUGUUUGCCAUCAGCAGCUGUUGUUCCUGGCACCGGCCUGUGCUGCUCUGACGCUACCUCCAGCCUUUGUCGCCCCGUCUGCAGACUGCCCUCCGCUCCCCACUUGCACUUGUUGUGCGGCUGACGAGGGGGAGGCUGCACGGCACAGCGUGGCCGAUGCAGCACGCGGGUUCAUGAAUGCAGACGUUGUCCAUCCGGAUUCGGAAGCGAGGGAUUAAAAAGCACUGCCAGAGUUUCCGAUUGAUUUUUAGCCCCUUGCACAUCCUGAACUCGACUCUGGCCUCCCUCCGUCCUGUGGCGCAGAGUCUGUUUAAUCCUCGCUGUGUCUGCUUCCUGCUGGACACGCUGUCGUUAGAUUAGCAGUGAACUUUCAACUAUUUUUCCAUGUGGGAUUUCCUUUGUCAUAAAAUCCAGGGCUGGUACAGGCUGAGUAGUGUCUCUUUCCCAUGGCCCAGAACCGACAGAACAAACUCUCGCAGAGAGCAAAGAAAACACGGCAACAAAAAGCAAAUGAUCCGCAGCACUCCUUGGUAAAAAUGACGAAAACGAGAAAAACCCUCUUCCUCCUUCAGCCAAACGUGUUCAGACCCGCGUUUCAGAGGAAACAAAGCUGGCGCGUGUGUACACAACAGCCUCCUGACUGACAGCUGCUGAUGUUGACUCACAUUUAUAUAAUUAAAGUUCCCUUCAUGA